GAUGAACGCUGGCGGCGUGCCUAAUACAUGCGAGUCGAGCGAACGGACGAGAAGCUUGCUUUUCUGAUGUUAGCGGCGGACGGGUGAGUAACACGUGGAUAACCUACCUAUAAGACUGGGAUAACUUCGGGAAACCGGAGCUAAUACCGGAUAAUAUUUUGAACCGCAUGGUUCAAAAGUGAAAGACGGUCUUGCUGUCACUUAUAGAUGGAUCCGCGCUGCAUUAGCUAGUUGGUAAGGUAACGGCUUACCAAGGCAACGAUGCAUAGCCGACCUGAGAGGGUGAUCGGCCACACUGGAACUGAGACACGGUCCAGACUCCUACGGGAGGCAGCAGUAGGGAAUCUUCCGCAAUGGGCGAAAGCCUGACGGAGCAACGCCGCGUGAGUGAUGAAGGUCUUCGGAUCGUAAAACUCUGUUAUUAGGGAAGAACAUAUGUGUAAGUAACUGCGCACAUCUUGACGGUACCUAAUCAGAAAGCCACGGCUAACUACGCG
Molecule: ribosomal RNA, 497 nt
Filed under: uncultured bacterium
Lineage: Bacteria
Description: partial 16S ribosomal RNA
Rfam family: Bacterial small subunit ribosomal RNA
Source: RNAcentral